This 253-nucleotide ribosomal RNA is filed under the name uncultured bacterium. RNAcentral's name for it is "partial 16S ribosomal RNA". It matches the Rfam family "Bacterial small subunit ribosomal RNA", at positions 524 to 776 of the family's 1533-position model. The record is from RNAcentral.
UACAGGGGGUGCAAACGUUACUCGGAAUCAUUGGGCGUAAAGAGCGCGUAGGCGGUUUGAUAAGUUAGAUGUGAAAUCCCCAGGCUCAAUCUGGGAAGUGCAUUUAAUACUGUCAGGCUAGAGUAUAGGAGGGGAGAACGGAAUUCCUGGUGUAGAGGUGAAAUUCAUAGAUAUCAGGAGGAACAACAGUGGCGAAGGCGGUUCUCUGGACUAUUACUGACGCUGAGGCGCGAAAGCGUGGGGAGCAAACAGG